RNAcentral lists this long non-coding RNA (1437 nucleotides) under Medicago truncatula (barrel medic). Its description in RNAcentral is "long non-coding RNA (MTRU_LNC003817)". The record is from RNAcentral. Lineage: Eukaryota; Viridiplantae; Streptophyta; Magnoliopsida; Fabales; Fabaceae.
UUUAUUUCUUGGUUUGAAUAUCAAAUUUAAGAUAGCAUAGUUUUACAGGUAAUAAUCUACCUCGUCGUUAGAUUGUAAAAUAGAGAUUAGUCAUCAGCAAAGUUGAUGGAUACUUCAAUUAGCUAUAUAUCUAUAAAAACUUCUAGAUGGUUGUAACACACACGCGGAAACUUUACUAGCGAGCACCUUCGGGUUCGAUCUUUUGGGGGUUUGACUCAUCUAAGGCGAGUAAUUGGUAAAAGUGUCAGAAUCAAGUGGGUGUAUGUCUAUGACAGACAAUAUGUGUGUGCACACGCGAGUGUGUAUGAUAUAUCUUGUAUGUUGUGUGUUAGAAGCCGCUGGUAAGGUCAGACAUUCCGAGUUCCAACCGACCACAUUGAUCUGAUUUGAGUUUAAAUUUAGAAUGAUUUAUGUUCAUUGAGGUCAGUUCUUCUUCUGAAUCUUGUAUGAAAUAUUCCAGGCACUCUAUACUUAAAUUUUCCAUUGUAUUAAAAACAACAGAACAAAACAUGAAAAUUAUUCAUUAUAGAAGCAUAAAAUGCUACAUUUUUCAAUUUUGUCAUAUAUUUUAUUCAUAGAAUGAUGUGUAUAUAUAUAUAUAUAUAUAUAUAUAUAUAUAUAUAUAUAUAUAUGAAGUAAAACAAGUUUGGUGUUUAGAUGACAUUUUUUUUUCAUUUCUCUAGAGUGAGAGCAUAGUUGCAUGCAUGCCCUAUUAUUUACAUGAUGGUGACAUCUUAAUUUUCAUGUGAGGUGAAAUUAGUUACCACACAGAUAUUGCAAUAGCCAACCGUACACAUGCUGGAAAAUGUUGGUCAUGCUUUGAUUGUUUUUCUAACUAAUUUAUAGAUUAUUGACCUUAGAGAGACAUGAAAAGGUGGAAGAGAAGAAUAGGUAAGUACAUAUGAUGGAAACAUGUGAUAAAGACUAGCUUGGAAAUUAAGCACAUUGGAUUGAAGCUAGCUGGAGCUGUCUAAAGUAAUUAUAAGGUGACUCUUGCGACAACAAUAAGGUUGAUCUGGCUUUAUUUACACAAUACUUAAAGUAGUGCAAAUGAUAUUUGAUUGUUGCAUUAUUUGGGGGUUUAAUUAGAACAAGAAGCUAUUGCAACUUACUUUCUUCGGUAUGAAAUGUAAACAAAACUUGACCAACUUAGAUAUGUUAUGAAAGAUGGUUGAUCAUAUUUAAUUUAUGCAAUUUCAAUUUCAAUAUUAAUAAUUAGGCUUAUUAUCUAUGUUAUCCUCCAUAACUAAGAGCCCGUUUGUUAUAGCUUUUUGUUAAGAAAAAAACUUUUUUUUUUAAUAAUCACUUCAAGAGUUUUGCAUCCGUUUGUUACAAUUUUUUGAAAAAAUCAGAAUCUACAAAAAAAUCUAUAAACAACUUCAAAUGAGAAGCUGUUAAGAGCAGCUUCUCAAAAAAUAGAUUUUGUUUAGAAGAGAG